Micropterus dolomieu (smallmouth bass) is the source of this 1348-nucleotide long non-coding RNA. RefSeq lists it as uncharacterized. Lineage: Eukaryota; Metazoa; Chordata; Actinopteri; Centrarchiformes; Centrarchidae. The transcript is spliced from 3 exons. The record is from RefSeq and is a predicted model, not a curated record.
AGAACAGUCAUUUCCCUUCCGGUCCAUACAAACACAGACACACAUGUGCUUACAUCUCUCAGGACCAGUCAUAAUCUGACAUCAUCUUGACAGCCCUUUAUCACUCACCCUACACAGGCGAUAGUAAUUGGACCAAUGGCCCAGGCAUCUUCCCACAUAAUAUAGUCCUCAGGAAGGUCGUAACAGGAUGUCAGGUCAUCAGUGGGCCACUGGCCAGGAGCACAGGGCGAGCAGGUGAACUCAUCAGCCAGAUAUUCAUGAGGCUCACAGGCUGUACAGAUCCAGCAGCAGUACUCACCUGGGAAACAGGAAUAUGAACAGCAGAGAGUGACAGUCUGAGAUUUUUCAAAAUGCACUGCUGCUUGGGAUCGCUGCACUGUGAGGUGGGCACCACCUCUCUUGGCCAGUGGAUCAGAUCGCUGCUCAGACUUAGAAUCUCUGCCCAUUCACCCACCGGCACGUAACCGUAGCGAUCGGCAGAGCGCUGGUAGCUGAAGAUGUUGUAUCGUCCCACGCCGUCCCCCUGGGAAUCGAACUUCACUGCUGUCUCGCUGCCGGGUGGAGAGAAAGGGGCUGGAGGGGAUUCAGUCCCCGCGGACGAAGGCGCUGCCUGGGCCACGGACCAACAGGCCACAGGGGAACAGCGGACAGAUAGGGUUGAGAGAAGGAAGUCGGACAUGGGAGAGAAAUGUAUAGGAUGAAAGGUGCGGCAGCAGAGAGCUGAGGCUUGACUGAAAGAAAGGUGGUGAGAUAGAGGAGACAAAAGAAAGAAACGGCAGGCCAAAGGCAGGAGGUGCUAGGAGGGAGGAUGAGCCAAGAGACAAGAUAAGGGCAAAGAAAGGAGAGAAGUGACAAGGGAGAAGAGGGAGAAGAAUACUAGGAAUAAGAGAGGAGAUAGCAUAAGAGAAACCCAAGAAACAGAUGUGACGGCAAUGGAGAUAUGGGUGAACGAGGGAAAGCCUUUGGAUGGAGGAAUCAAUAGAGAAAAGGUGAAGUAUGGAUGAUGGGAUGAGCAAAGUGGAGGAACAGACCGGCGCAGAGAGGCGGUGGAGGCAGGAGAGCAACCUUGUGAAGUCUGAGUGGGAUGUGCUGUUUUUGAAUGUAGAGAGAGUAGGACACUUUCUGGGUGAGAAAGAGAACGGAGACAGAGAGAGAUAUAGAGAGAUAGGGUGACGAAGAGUGAGAGAAAGAGAGAUAGAAAGACAGAGGGUGACAGAGACAGAGAGACAGAGGGAAAGAGUGAAGAGAAAAUAAGGGAGAGAAGGAGUGAAGGUUGUUCUCUAGCAUCUAAACGUUGCAGUAAGCUCUCUGCUCAAUAUGGCCCUGAAGGCACACCGCCUCUGCUAAC